RNAcentral lists this ribosomal RNA (468 nucleotides) under uncultured bacterium. Its description in RNAcentral is "partial 16S ribosomal RNA". It matches the Rfam family "Bacterial small subunit ribosomal RNA", at positions 28 to 507 of the family's 1533-position model. The record is from RNAcentral.
GACGAACGCUGGCGGCGUGCUUAACACAUGCAAGUCGAACGGAAAGGCCCUGCUUUUGUGGGGUGCUCGAGUGGCGAACGGGUGAGUAACACGUGAGUAACCUGCCCUUGACUUUUGGAUAACUUCAGGAAACUGGGGCUAAUACCGGAUAGGAGCUCCUGCUGCAUGGUGUGGGUUGGAAAGUUUCGGCGGUUGGGGAUGGACUCGCGGCUUAUCAGCUUGUUGGUGGGGUAGUGGCUUACCCAGGCUUUGACGGGUAGCCGGCCUGAGAGGGUGACCGGCCACAUUGGGACUGAGAUACGGCCCAGACUCCUACGGGAGGCAGCAGUGGGGAAUAUUGCACAAUGGGCGGAAGCCUGAUGCAGCAACGCCGCGUGCGGGAUGACGGCCUUCGGGUUGUAAACCGCUUUCGCCUGUGACGAAGCGUGAGUGACGGUAAUGGGUAAAGAAGCACCGGCUAACUACGUG